UGGGGAAUAUUGCACAAUGGGCGCAAGCCUGAUGCAGCCAUGCCGCGUGUAUGAAGAAGGCCUUCGGGUUGUAAAGUACUUUCAGCGGGGAGGAAGGGAGUAAAGUUAAUACCUUUGGUCAUUGACGUUACCCGCAGAAGAAGCACCGGCUAACUCCGUGCCAGCAGCCGCGGUAAUACGGCGGGUGCAAGCGUUAAUCGGAAUUACUGGGCGUAAAGCGCACGCAGGCGGUUUGUUAAGUCAGAUGUGAAAUCCCCGGGCUCAACCUGGGAACUGCAUCUGAUACUGGCAAGCUUGAGUCUCGUAGAGGGGGGUAGAAUUCCAGGUGUAGCGGUGAAAUGCGUAGAGAUCUGGAGGAAUACCGGUGGCGAAGGCGGCCCCCUGGACGAAGACUGACGCUCAGGUGCGAAAGCGUGGGGAGCAAACAGG
This 429-nucleotide ribosomal RNA is filed under the name Chloroflexota bacterium. RNAcentral describes it as "Chloroflexi bacterium partial 16S ribosomal RNA". It matches the Rfam family "Bacterial small subunit ribosomal RNA", at positions 355 to 776 of the family's 1533-position model. The record is from RNAcentral. Lineage: Bacteria; Bacillati; Chloroflexota.